UGGGGAAUCUUGCACAAUGGGCGAAAGCCUGAUGCAGCAACGCCGCGUGCGGGAAGACAGCCCUAGGGUUGUAAACCGCUUUCAGCAGGGAAGAAACUGACGGUACCUGCAGAAGAAGAUGCGGCCAACUACGUGCCAGCAGCCGCGGUGACACGUAGGCAUCAAGCGUUAUCCGGAUUUAUUGGGCGUAAAGAGCUCGUAGGCGGUUCGGUAAGUCGGGUGUGAAAACUCUGGGCUCAACCCAGAGAGGCCACUCGAUACUGCUGUGACUAGAGUGCGGUAGGGGAGCGGGGAAUUCCUGGUGUAGCGGUGAAAUGCGCAGAUAUCAGGAGGAACACCAGUGGCGAAGGCGCCGCUCUGGGCCGUAACUGACGCUGAGGAGCGAAAGCAUGGGUAGCAAACAGGAUUAGAUACCCUGGUAGUCCAUGCCGUAAAACGUUGGGCACUAGGUGUGGGUCUCAACCAACGAGAUCCGCGCCGUCGCUAACGCAUUAAGUGCCCGCCUGGGAGUACGGCCGCAAGGCUAAAACU
RNAcentral lists this ribosomal RNA (531 nucleotides) under uncultured bacterium. RNAcentral describes it as "bacterial SSU rRNA". It matches the Rfam family "Bacterial small subunit ribosomal RNA", at positions 355 to 901 of the family's 1533-position model. The record is from RNAcentral.